Molecule: ribosomal RNA, 253 nt
Filed under: uncultured prokaryote
Description: partial 16S ribosomal RNA
Rfam family: Bacterial small subunit ribosomal RNA
Source: RNAcentral
GACAGAGGGUGCAAACGUUGUUCGGAAUUACUGGGCGUAAAGCGCGUGUAGGCGGCUAAGUAAGUCGGGCGUGAAAUCCCACGGCUCAACCGUGGAAGUGCACUCGAAACUGCAUAGCUAGAGUCCUGGAGAGGAAGGUGGAAUGCUUGGUGUAGAGGUGAAAUUCGUAGAUAUUCGGAAGAACACCAGUGGCGAAGGCGGCUCACUGGACUGGUAUUGACGCUGAGGUGCGAAAGCGUGGGGAGCAAACAGG